AUUGAACGCUGGCGGAAUGCUUUACACAUGCAAGUCGAACGGCAGCACGGGGGCAGCCCUGGUGGCGAGUGGCGAACGGGUGAGUAAUACAUCGGAACGUGCCCGGUCGUGGGGGAUAACGUAGCGAAAGUUACGCUAAUACCGCAUACGAUCUGAGGAUGAAAGCGGGGGACCUUCGGGCCUCGCGCGAUCGGAGCGGCCGAUGUCAGAUUAGGUAGUUGGUGGGGUAAAGGCCUACCAAGCCGACGAUCUGUAGCUGGUCUGAGAGGACGACCAGCCACACUGGGACUGAGACACGGCCCAGACUCCUACGGGAGGCAGCAGUGGGGAAUUUUGGACAAUGGGCGCAAGCCUGAUCCAGCCAUUCCGCGUGCAGGACGAAGGCCUUCGGGUUGUAAACUGCUUUUGUACGGAACGAAAAGGCUCUGGCUAAUACCUGGGGCUCAUGACGGUACCGUAAGAAUAAGCACCGGCUAGCUACGUG
RNAcentral lists this ribosomal RNA (484 nucleotides) under uncultured bacterium. Its description in RNAcentral is "partial 16S ribosomal RNA". It matches the Rfam family "Bacterial small subunit ribosomal RNA", at positions 30 to 507 of the family's 1533-position model. The record is from RNAcentral.